This 347-nucleotide unclassified non-coding RNA is filed under the name soil metagenome. Its description in RNAcentral is "partial contains 5.8S ribosomal RNA, internal transcribed spacer 2, and large subunit ribosomal RNA". The stretch from base 1 to 121 matches the Rfam family "5.8S ribosomal RNA", at positions 35 to 154 of the family's 154-position model. The record is from RNAcentral.
GAUGAAGAACGUAGCGAAAUGCGAUAAGUAAUGCGAAUUGCAGAAUUCCAGUGAGUCAUCGAAUCUUUGAACGCACAUUGCGCCCCCUGGUAUUCCGGGGGGCAUGCCUGUCCGAGCGUCAUUGCUGCCCUCAAGCACGGCUUGUGUGUUGGGCCCCGUCCUCCGAUUCCGGGGGACGGGCCCGAAAGGCAGCGGCGGCACCGCGUCCGGUCCUCGAGCGUAUGGGGCUUUGUCACCCGCUCUGUAGGCCCGGCCGGCGCUUGCCGAUCAACCCAAAUUUUUAUCCAGGUUGACCUCGGAUCAGGUAGGGAUACCCGCUGAACUUAAGCAUAUCAAUAAGCGGAGGA